AUGCAUAUAAUGUUCAUGCACUGUAAUAGGGGGAGGAGAAAAGGGUUGUGCUUGGUUGUCGCAAACAAUAGCAGGCUUGCAAGGUCUUUCUUCAGCUGUCAAAACUUGUUUUCUCAUGAAUGCAGAAAGCGUUCAGCCUCCGUAGGAAUGUGUGCUGUCUUAAUGGUGAUUUUGCCACCUUUCGCCACAUUCCCAUUUUGGCAUCUUGUUUCAUUGCCCUUUUUUGUCUCAUAUUUCUUUAUGCCUCCUUGGGUUGAGUUGUUCUCUCGCCAUCCUAGAAACCACUGGAAUCUAUGGUGCCACUGUCUUAAAACCUCUGUCUUGCAUGAUGGAAGACUUACCAAGCUCUUCUGUAGUUGAUUAAUGUACCUCCAGAUGCCCUUCUGGUUCCUGCUGGAAGAUGGAAGAGAAGGAAGAAAGGUGAAGAAGAAUGGUUGAUUGCUUCUUUUUAGUGUUUUCUCAAAACCAUUUCCCUCCCCCCGUCAUUAUUUGCAGUGGGAGGGAAAUUAUUUAUACCAACUCUAGUGUAGAGCUAAUUCUCUUAGAGAGAAACUCUAAGCCCAAAAUAAAAAACACUUGUAGAUUUUACA
Molecule: long non-coding RNA, 590 nt
Filed under: Pogona vitticeps (central bearded dragon)
Lineage: Eukaryota; Metazoa; Chordata; Lepidosauria; Squamata; Agamidae
Description: lncRNA (ENSPVIG00000019018.1)
Source: RNAcentral